GGGUUGUGAGGUUAAGCGACUAAGCGUACACGGUGGAUGCCCUGGCAGUCAGAGGCGAUGAAGGACGUGCUAAUCUGCGAUAAGCGUCGGUAAGGUGAUAUGAACCGUUAUAACCGGCGAUUUCCGAAUGGGGAAACCCAGUGUGAUUCGUCACACUAUCAUUAACUGAAUCCAUAGGUUAAUGAGGCGAACCGGGGGAACUGAAACAUCUAAGUACCCCGAGGAAAAGAAAUCAACCGAGAUUCCCCCAGUAGCGGCGAGCGAACGGGGAGGAGCCCAGAGCCUGAAUCAGUGUGUGUGUUAGUGGAAGCGUCUGGAAAGGCGCGCGAUACAGGGUGACAGCCCCGUACACAAAAAUGCACAUGCUGUGAGCUCGAUGAGUAGGGC
Molecule: ribosomal RNA, 387 nt
Filed under: Escherichia coli
Lineage: Bacteria; Pseudomonadati; Pseudomonadota; Gammaproteobacteria; Enterobacterales; Enterobacteriaceae
Description: partial 23S ribosomal RNA
Rfam family: Bacterial large subunit ribosomal RNA
Source: RNAcentral